CCUACGGGAGGCAGCAGUGAGGAAUAUUGGUCAAUGGGCGCGAGCCUGAACCAGCCAAGUCGCGUGAAGGAUGGCUGCCCUACGGGUUGUAAACUCCUUUUAUAAAGGAAUAAAGUGAGGAACGUGUGCCUUUCUGUAUGUACUUACUGAAUAAGGAUCGGCUAACUCCGUGCCAGCGGCCGCGGUAAUACGGAGGAUCCGGGCGUUAUCCGGAUUUAUUGGGUUAAAAGGGAGCGUAGAUGGGUUGUUAAGUAAGUUGGGAAAGUUUGCGGCUCAAGCGGAGAAUUGCCAUUGAUACUGGCAGUCUUGAGUACAGUUGAGGUAGGCGGAAUUCGUGGUGUAGCGGUGAAAUGCAUAGAUAUCACGAAGAACUCCGAUUGCGAAGGCAGCUUACUAAUCUGCCACUGACAUUGAUGCUCGAAAGUGUGGGUAUCAAACAGGAUUAGAUACCCUUGUAGUC
RNAcentral lists this ribosomal RNA (460 nucleotides) under uncultured bacterium. Its description in RNAcentral is "partial 16S ribosomal RNA". It matches the Rfam family "Bacterial small subunit ribosomal RNA", at positions 338 to 795 of the family's 1533-position model. The record is from RNAcentral.